RNAcentral lists this ribosomal RNA (292 nucleotides) under uncultured bacterium. RNAcentral's name for it is "partial 16S ribosomal RNA". The record is from RNAcentral. RNAcentral also lists the same sequence under 2 other names.
GGACUACCGGGGUAUCUAAUCCCGUUCGCUCCCCUAGCUUUCGUGCCUCAGCGUCAGAAGAGACCCAGUGAGCCGCUUUCGCCACCGGUGUUCCUUAGGAUAUCAACGCAUUUCACCGCUCCACCCUAAGUUCCGCUCACCUCUGUCUCACUCGAGCACAGUAGUUUUGGGCGCAGUUCCUCGGUUAAGCCGAGGGAUUUCACACCCAACUUUCUGCGCAGCCUACGCACCCUUUAAGCCCAGUGAUUCCGAAUAACGUUCGUACGGUUCGUCUUACCGCGGCUGCUGGCAC